Molecule: long non-coding RNA, 745 nt
Filed under: Zea mays
Lineage: Eukaryota; Viridiplantae; Streptophyta; Magnoliopsida; Poales; Poaceae
Description: long non-coding RNA (ZMAY_LNC003385)
Source: RNAcentral
AAAAGGCAAAAGCUCCCCAACGAAGUGCGAGCGACCCACGUCCACACGACACGAACCACCACCACCAACCAGCAGCCGCACCACGCACCCAGCGCAAAGCGAUGGCGUCGCUCACCAUGAUGGCGUCCUUCGCCGCCGUGGCGGUGGCCGCGCCCUCGCGCCGCGGCACCUUCGCCGUGGUCAGGUCCGCCAAGGUCGACCGCUGCCAGGAGCCCGCCACGCUAGCAGCAACCGAGGCCAGGCCCGCCGCCGACGGACGCCGCGCCGUCAUGCUCGCGGCUGCUGCGGCGGCCGUGGCAGCCAUCGGCGGCGCCGGCGCCGCCAUGGCGGGCCCCAAGAACGGGACCCCCGAGGCGAAGAAGAAGUACGCGGCCAUCUGCGUCACCAUGCCCACCGCCAAGGUCUGCCACAACUGAGCACGCCCGCGUUGCAUGCAGCUGCAGGGCCGGGGGGUGGUAUAUAAUUAAUGUACGUGCCACGGUGUUGUUGUCCCUAUUGUUGGUUCGAGCUUUAGAUGCAUGCCUGACGUGAGGCCGCUUAAUUGCUUUCUGACGGCCUCGGAGCUGUAAGAAUAUCAAGUGCACUGCAAAACUGAAUUCGGUUGAAACCGUUCUUAUUUUAUCAUUAUAAUUUCGUUCGUGCAUUUCGACGACGUACGUGGAACGAAUGGCAGCAAAAACGACCAGCGUUGCGUAUAUAGGAACAAACUGUUGCGUGUUCUAUUUGAUCAGACUACAAGAUGAAA